UUUUUAUAGCUUCUCUGGGUGCUGGGAGUACUGAAUUAAGUUUGGACCAUCAACUCACAACAAAUUGAACUCAGAGUUUCAACCUAGUUGAACUCAAGGUCUUUGCUUUUGAAGAUCCGGUUGGUUCUGAGAGAACUGGAUCAGCUCUCAAGUCUGAGACCGUGGGUCUAUCUGUGUCGAUACUUUCCUUGGUCCAGGAGUUCAAGUUAUUGAGGGUUUUGUUCAUGAGUUGCAUGCGAUAGCUCGAAGGAGGAACGAAGUGAAGCCGUGUCCCGCCAAAUGCUUUCACCGCUGCCCUCGCCACCUCAAAUAAUCUUAGGAGAAUGUAUUUUUGUGAUGUUUGGCACUAACACUGAUGUGUCUCUGACGGCGGGUGACUCGAUGUGUCAUGCUCCUCUUACUGUUGUUGGGGUUGUCGCCGAUGAUGUGGUGUCUCCCGCUCCAGUACCACAGCAGCAGCGUGGCGUCCCUGGACCCUGACACGAUGUAGCAGUCGCCUCCGAUGUACGACUCUGACCUGGCCAGACACGUGACCACGUCCCAGUGGCCGAAAACGAUCUGGGUCAGUUUCCCUGCAGAGGAAAAGAGAUCUGAGGCCAGACUGGGCACAGAAACUUGUAGGUUUGAGAUAUGUUCGUAUGGAGGGAAUGAGGAUGAGGAAGUGGAGCUCAUGAGCGAGGAGUUGCAAGUGAAGUGGCGUUUUUACAGUCACUCAUGGCGGCAGAUGUGGUUCCCCUCUUUCUCCCAGGCGCUCACACCAACCUGUCUCAGACGAGUACACACGGAAGCUCUUGUCCCAGAACCCACAGACCAGGAUGUAGCGGUUGUCGGCCGUCACCACGAAACAGUGCGACGUGAUCUGGAUGCUCUGAUCCACCAGAUCUGUGAUCUGACGCCUGCUGCUGCUGCUGCCGUUACUGGCUGGAACCAGAGACGUGAGAAGUGAAAGCGUUUCCCUGCCACCUCUUCACACUGAUGGACCCUCCUCAUCCCUCAUCCAUGGUUUAGUUCCUUACCUCCUUUCUCCUCUCACAUAUCUUAUACCUCUCCCACACUUCCUCCUUCACUUUCCUACCCAGUCAAAUUCUCCUGCACCUCCUACUGCUUGGACAUCCUCACACCGACUGAACAUCUUCUCUCACUCUCCCACAUUGCCUCACAAGUUAUCUUCUCUAUCCUCAAGCAGUUAUCCUUCUGACCACCUUCACUCCAUUAUCUUCUGUUUUUAACAUAUCAUUCAUCACAUUCAUCCUGUAUAACUUUAACAUCUUCACCUCUUUUACAUCGCCUCCUUCAUCUUCUCACUCUUCCUUCAAAGCCACAACUGCCUACUCACUCCUUUUCUUUUCCCUUCAUCCACACCUCCUUUCAAUUCUCAUCAUCAUCUGUAUUGCCUUUGCCUUCUUUCCAAUUCAUCUCCUCACUUCUCCAUCACUUCCUCAUAUCCUUACUCUGUCUUCACUUCUUUCACUCAUCCACCCUCCCAGCUCGACCCCCCCAGACUGAAGAACUCACCUAUCAGCGAGUCCAUCUCUAUGGGCAGGUGAUGAGCUUGUUCCAGAGAGUAGCCUGGAGCUCCUCUGAGUCCUGCAGACAGACAGACAGACUUGUCCAACAUCAACCUCCAUCACCAGUGCAUGCCAUUAUUGCUGAGUCUAUGGUGGCCUGUAGGUGCCCCCUUUACAUGCACCCCACACUCAGCAUUUAGUUACUGGCGGUUCCUCUUUAUUUCAAUGACUCUUGAGGCAAGACACAGAACUAAAUAACAGUUUGUCAGCUGCUCACCAAACAGAUUUUAGUGCUGCAUUUUGGAAGAGGAGUGAAAAUUUGUUCCAUUUUCGGCCACAGGCGAUGUCACACUCUAUUUUUAGACACAAUUUUUGAGUCUAUUUUCCUCUGUGUCACAGUGAAUGACAUCCAAUCUGAUUACCUGCAGCCACUUUUAGAAAAGGCAAACACCUGAAAAUACCGGGGCCCCAUUAUGGCCAUUACUGUGAGGAGCCAGAGCACAUUUCCAUCCCGUGUGUCAGGACGGUGUCAGUGAUGCAGCUGUUCAUUAGAGUCCUGCUCGUACGCUCCUCAGCCCAGUUCCUCCUCUGACAGAUGGAGAUGUGCGAGGAGAAUUUGGGCCCUAAUUUUGAAGUAACCAUGGACUGGGCCCUCUGACCCCGAGGUGGAGCCGGUUCUGUGGCUAAUGUUGUUCACACAUGUCUGGGGGGGGGGGACAUGUGGAAUCGCUCUGGGCCACUUACCUGGGAGGCGCUGGUGUGUCCAGCUGGCAGCAGCUCUAUUAGAGGAGGUUAGGGUGGAGAUGAAGUGAUUCCACAGAACCGCAGCUGUGUUUCUGUCGUACGUGAGACUUUCUGAAGGAACCAUCAAUGUGUGCGAUCGGAUCGGUUCGCUAAAUCACUGAGGUCAUUGGACACUUGCAGGGAAAGUAUUUCACGUCAGGAUUAUUGACUCGCUGGUGACUUUGUGAUUGAAAUAUCUUGGCUCUCUCCGUUGCUAGUGAUGCUAACCUUCAUGUGUGGCGGUGCAGCAUGUGACACCUGUCUUUGUUCCUUAUCUCAAAAAGUUGUAGUUAAAAGGGACAGAUGUGAUAGAGUGCAUCAUCACUGCCGUGAAUUGUAUUAUUUUUUUGUCUUCUAAAGAUGUGUUACUCACCGACAUUGUUGUGCCAGCGGUUGACGGCGAACAAGCGGCUGCAGGUGACCGUCACCACCGCGGGCACGGUGAGGUGCGGCAGCGUGUUGGCGGCCACGUGGGUGACCGGGGAGUUGGACGGAAACUUGAGCACCAUGAUGACGUCCUGCUGCAGCUGGUCCUUGAACAUGAGUGGACUCUGGAAACCUCAGCGUCCACAGAUGCAUCACUUGAAGAGGAAAAAGGAGGAGGAUUUCUGUUCAUCUUCUCAAGACGGCAGAUGGUGGAUAUCACAGCAAGAGAGAGAGAGACGGGCAGAAAGCAGAGCAGCUGCUGCUCCUCUCUUUUCCCCUCCAAAGAUAUUCUAUUAAUUUGUUAAGAACAAGAGGAUUCACUCCCCCUCUAUUGACUGACUGACCCCUGCGGACCCAUCAAAGCUCCCGCUCAUUGAUCUGAGGACGCCAAGGAGGAGGGGACAAUUUGGGAUGGAGAAUAAUCACAGAGGUCAGUACAGGUGCAGCGCAGAAUUGUGAGUGGCUGAGUCCCGGGCGCCACAGAGACAGGAAGUGGCCUCACUUGAGAUGACCCCAGGAGGUCACGCACAGAUCAUGUAUACUGCAUCAGGUGUACCAUGUCUUAAUUUUGCUCUCAACGUUUGAAACAUUUCUAUAAAUGUGGAAAAACAUCUGGAUAGUGAAGUAUUUACCUUGAGAAUUCUUUCAACACUCAUUUGUUAAAAUACAUUUUUAAAAUAUAUAUUUAGUACAGUACACCCACUUUUGUUCUACUGAACAAAAUUUGUUAUAUUAAUAUGUUGAAUUAAAUAUAUAUAUAUUUACAUUUACAUUUUAUGUAUCAUUUUGUGUGAAACUUUCUAAUAUUAUUCUAAUACUAACACAUUUUAUUAAUAAUACAUAAUAAUUUUAUGCCAUUUUAAAACUGACUUAAAAAAAUAAGCAUUUUAAGGACUUAUUUUUUCCAAUUAAUAUAUUAAAAAAGUCAUCCGUUUAUUGAUAGUUGAUGUAAAUGUAAAUGUAAAGUGUUUUUGACCACUUAUCCAAUUGUGUUUUUGUCAUCCGAUUUGAGUCGUAUAUUAUGAAUAGAUUAGUAUAAAUUCAAAAUAAUUCAAGUGCUAAAUAUUGUGAUAAUAUUCUACUAUUCUACUCAUAAAUCUCUGAUUACUUCUGUGUUAUUAACACUUUUUCACCUUUCAGUUCAGUUUGUAGGAAGAAAGUCGUGGGAUUGAAUGACCUCAGCUUCACGUGUUCAUUCCAUUUUUAUUAUAUUUAAUGUUAGCUUCUCCCUUCAACAGGUCUAUUGAGGCCACUAUAUUCAUUUCCCCUCAGAAAUGGAGCUGGUGUUGUCAUGGCGACGUGGCCUUACCUCUCUGAGGGAAGGGUCAGUGAUGGCGUCCAGGUUGACGGAGCCCUCGUAAGUCAGGUGGUGAAAGACGUUGAGGGCACGCACUGCCUCGGGGCCUCGCUGCUUGUAGCCGAAAAUAAGGUCAAUCCACUGAUGCAGCUGACAUGACACAAACUCGCUUUCCAGAGCCUGUCAGAGGAGAGACGGGCAAUUAGAGGUGAGCGCGCCGCCGCACGCGCGUGGACACACAACACAAACCGAACUUCCACACACCACUGAGCAGAACAACAACCUGCUUACUGUACACAUGACAGACAACAACCAGGGCCACGCGAGGGAAUCGGCGAUGCAUUCUGGAGCCGCGCAACAUCCCCGGAAUCAACCGCAGCUAACCAUGCUAACAACAGUGGAACAGGACACGCUCGAUUCCCACAUAGUGUGAAAACAGAGCAAGACUAGCACAGGGGAAGUAGUUUAGUAAGUUGGAGUUGAAUUCAGUUUCCUCCGUAUAUACUGUAUGUGGCUAACUCUGGUCUGUGAAAAUCCGCAGAUGCGGGUUUGGGCUGAAGACGUGAGGGCACCAUACUGCUGUGCAGAUAGACUUGCCACUGUCGCUUCAGGCUGCUGUUUUACGGAG
Long non-coding RNA from Synchiropus splendidus (mandarinfish), 4642 nucleotides. RefSeq lists it as uncharacterized. The transcript has 3 exons. NCBI's taxonomy places the organism in Eukaryota, Metazoa, Chordata, Actinopteri, Syngnathiformes, Callionymidae. The record is from RefSeq and is a predicted model, not a curated record.